This 409-nucleotide ribosomal RNA is filed under the name uncultured Prochlorococcus sp. Its description in RNAcentral is "bacterial SSU rRNA". It matches the Rfam family "Bacterial small subunit ribosomal RNA", at positions 40 to 497 of the family's 1533-position model. Lineage: Bacteria; Bacillati; Cyanobacteriota; Cyanophyceae; Synechococcales; Prochlorococcaceae. The record is from RNAcentral.
CGGCGUGCUUAACACAUGCAAGUCGAACGAACCUUCGGGUUAGUGGCGGACGGGUGAGUAACGCGUGAGAAUCUGCCCUCAGGAGGGGGAUAACGGUUGGAAACGACCGCUAAUACCCCAUAUGCCUAUUGGUGAAAUGAAUUUCGCCUGAGGAUGAGCUCGCGUCUGAUUAGCUAGUUGGUGAGGUAAUGGCUCACCAAGGCUUCGAUCAGUAGCUGGUCUGAGAGGAUGAUCAGCCACACUGGGACUGAGACACGGCCCAGACUCCUACGGGAGGCAGCAGUGGGGAAUUUUCCGCAAUGGGCGAAAGCCUGACGGAGCAACGCCGCGUGAGGGACGAAGGCCUCUGGGCUGUAAACCUCUUUUCUCAAGGAAGAAGAUAUGACGGUACUGAGGAAUAAGCCACGGC